GUGCCUAUUUCUCUCCACUUCAUCUCCCAAAGCCGUGCCUCAAGCGCUUCAUCUCUUUCUCCACCCACGCACACCUACAUGCACACAAACAAGAGGAAAAGGAAACCUACAGGAGAAACAUUCCCUGGUCUAAAUUGUUUAGUUCUUCACCGUUUCCAAAUUUCAGCUCCAUGGACGCCGAUGCUCUAUCCCGAUGAUUUAGGCGAUCCAUGUUCGAGUCCUUGCGCCAAAAUAUUCUGCUCCAUGCCGCAGCUCCAUUCAGAGAAGAAACAACGUGUUCCGUCGAGCAUACGCGGAGAAUUUUGCAAGGAGUGACAAUAUCGAUGUUGGACAUGGAUAGAACAGGUUACUGAAGAAGGACUCAACAACGAAGGCAUGCCUCCUUCUUUGAUCAUACUUAUCCUAUGUUUACAAAAUUGCAUUGUGUUUUAUGGUUAUUAUAUGCAUGCUAUUUUAAUUCUCGUAGCUAGCGUGUCGAUUGACACAUUACCUUGAUCCACUUGUUGCCUAUUCAUUUGACACCUGAGUAGAAUUAUAGUAUUCUUGUAGAGUAGAAAU
This is a long non-coding RNA of Triticum aestivum (bread wheat), 558 nucleotides long. RefSeq lists it as uncharacterized. Lineage: Eukaryota; Viridiplantae; Streptophyta; Magnoliopsida; Poales; Poaceae. The transcript is spliced from 3 exons. The record is from RefSeq and is a predicted model, not a curated record.